CAAUAGCGUAUAUUUAAGUUGUUGCAGUUAAAAAGCUCGUAGUUGGAUUUCGGAUGGGAUUUGCCGGUCCGUCGUUACGAUGUGCACUGGCCAGUCCUAUCUUGUUGUCGGGGACUAGCUCCUUGGAUUCACUUCCUGGGACUAGGAGCUGACGAGGUUACUUUGAGUAAAUUAGAGUGUUCAAAGCAAGCCUACGCUCUGAAUACAUUAGCAUGGAAUAACACGAUAGGACUCUGGCUUAUCUUGUUGGUCUGUGAGACCAGAGUAAUGAUUAAGAGGGACAGUCGGGGACAUUCGUAUUUCAUUGUCAGAGGUGAAAUUCUUGGAUUUAUGAAAGACGAACUUCUGCGAAAGCAUUUGUCAAGGAUGUUUUCAUUAG
RNAcentral lists this ribosomal RNA (379 nucleotides) under uncultured eukaryote. Its description in RNAcentral is "partial 18S ribosomal RNA". It matches the Rfam family "Eukaryotic small subunit ribosomal RNA", at positions 592 to 976 of the family's 1831-position model. The record is from RNAcentral.